ACUGUUCGUAGCCCGAAGGCACGCCCAACACCUCUUGGAGGUCGUUCCCAAGUUGGGCUGUUCACGCGCGCACACACACACACACACACACACACACGCGCGCCGGGUGCACGCUAAUGGGCCAAUGAAAACAUGCGCAGGGCGAGCGAGGGGGGAAGUGAGUGCUUAAGAAAACAAACAAGAGGCAAUAGGAAGGGGAAAAGGACAAUUUCCACGUCCAAAUAUUAACGCAAUCAAGAGCGAUUAGUGCCUGUGGGACGGCGGGAUGGCUUGUUUGCUGAGUAACUUGGACGACAUUUUCACAGUUGCCUUUUCCUGUUGUUGCGUUGACAGCAAUACAGUCGAGUAACAAAUGGACUCUUGAGCCACUGAGUGAUAUUUUCUGGUUGUUAUUGUUUGGGGGAGUCUGUCUCGUCUGGGUUGACCGGAAGAAAAGAAUUGGGGGGGGGGCGGCAAACAAACAUCAUCUUUUCUGUCUUCAUCUUAACUUUAAGCCAAUCCGCAAAGUCGAUCCAGCUCCGAUGUUCCCCUCAGUUCAAAGCCUGCGGCAUUUCACACCUUUUUACCGUUU
This is a long non-coding RNA of Hippocampus comes (tiger tail seahorse), 571 nucleotides long. RefSeq lists it as uncharacterized. Lineage: Eukaryota; Metazoa; Chordata; Actinopteri; Syngnathiformes; Syngnathidae. The record is from RefSeq and is a predicted model, not a curated record. The transcript is spliced from 3 exons.